This 776-nucleotide ribosomal RNA is filed under the name uncultured bacterium. RNAcentral describes it as "bacterial SSU rRNA". It matches the Rfam family "Bacterial small subunit ribosomal RNA", at positions 8 to 794 of the family's 1533-position model. The record is from RNAcentral.
AGAGUUUGAUCAUGGCUCAGGACGAACGCUGGCGGCGCGCCUAACACAUGCAAGUCGAACGGACGAGGAUUGGUGCUUGCACUGAUCCGAGUUAGUGGCGGACGGGUGAGUAACGCGUGAGUAACCUGCCUUUUAGAGGGGGAUAACGUCUGGAAACGGACGCUAAUACCGCAUAAUAUGUUUAUGCCGCAUGGUGUAGAUAUCAAAGGAGCAAUCCGCUAAGAGAUGGACUCGCGUCCAAUUAGCUAGUUGGUGAGGUAACGGCUCACCAAGGCGACGAUUGGUAGCCGGACUGAGAGGUUGAACGGCCACAUUGGGACUGAGACACGGCCCAGACUCCUACGGGAGGCAGCAGUGGGGAAUAUUGCACAAUGGGGGAAACCCUGAUGCAGCGACGCCGCGUGAGGGAAGAAGGUUUUCGGAUUGUAAACCUCUGUCCUUGGUGAAGAAGAUGACUGUAGCCGAGGAGGAAGCCACGGCUAACUACGUGCCAGCAGCCGCGGUAAUACGUAGGUGGCAAGCGUUGUCCGGAAUUACUGGGUGUAAAGGGAGCGUAGGCGGGAAUGCAAGUUGAAUGUUAAAACUACAGGCUCAACCUGUAGUCGCGUUCAAAACUGUAUUUCUUGAGUGAAGUAGAGGUAGGCGGAAUUCCUAGUGUAGCGGUGAAAUGCGUAAAUAUUAGGAGGAACACCAGUGGCGAAGGCGGCCUACUGGGCUUUAACUGACGCUGAGGCUCGAAAGCGUGGGUAGCAAACAGGAUUAGAUACCCUGGUAGU